GAUGAAGAACGUAGCGAAAUGCGAUAAGUAGUGUGAAUUGCAGAAUUCAGUGAAUCAUCGAAUCUUUGAACGCACAUUGCGCCCCCUGGUAUUCCGGGGGGCAUGCCUGUCCGAGCGUCAUUGCUGCCCUCAAGCACGGCUUGUGUGUUGGGCCUCCGUCCUCCUCCCGGGGGCCGGGCCCGAAAGGCAGCGGCGGCACCGCGUCCGGUCCUCGAGCGUAUGGGGCUUCGUCACCCGCUCUUGUAGGCCCGGCCGGCGCUUGCCGACACAUCAAUCUUUUUUCCAGGUUGACCUCGGAUCAGGUAGGGAUACCCGCUGAACUUAAGCAUAUCAAUAAGCGGAGGA
RNAcentral lists this unclassified non-coding RNA (345 nucleotides) under soil metagenome. RNAcentral describes it as "partial contains 5.8S ribosomal RNA, internal transcribed spacer 2, and large subunit ribosomal RNA". The stretch from base 1 to 120 matches the Rfam family "5.8S ribosomal RNA", at positions 35 to 154 of the family's 154-position model. The record is from RNAcentral.